RNAcentral lists this ribosomal RNA (2017 nucleotides) under metagenome. Its description in RNAcentral is "bacterial LSU rRNA". It matches the Rfam family "Bacterial large subunit ribosomal RNA", at positions 1 to 2033 of the family's 2925-position model. The record is from RNAcentral.
AAAAGUAAGAAAGGGCGCAUGGCGGAUGCCUUGGCUCUCGGAGGCGAUGAAGGACGUGAUAAGCUGCGAUAAGCUCCGGGUAGGUGCAAAUGACCUUUGAUCCGGAGAUUUCCGAAUGGGACAACCCAAUAUCUUGAAGAGAUAUUAUUCUGCAUAGCAGAAGGCUAACGCAGGGAACUGAAACAUCUUAGUACCUGCAGGAAAAGAAAAUAAAUAAUGAUUCCCCUAGUAGUGGCGAGCGAACGGGGAGCAGCCCAAACCACCUAUGUUACGGCAUAGGUGGGGUUGUAGGACCACGUUGUGGCAUGAAAACUGGUGAGUGGAACCCUCUGGAAAGUGGGGUCAUAGACGGUGAUAACCCGGUACACGAAGCCAGUCCAAGCCUAGUGGUAUCCUGAGUAGCGCGGAGCACGAGGAAUUCUGCGUGAAUCUGCCGGGACCAUCCGGUAAGGCUAAAUACUCCCGAGAGACCGAUAGUGAACCAGUACUGUGAAGGAAAGGUGAAAAGCACUUCGAACAGAAGAGUGAAAUAGUUCCUGAAACCAUGCGCCUACAAGCGGUCGGAGCAGCUAUAUGUUGUGACGGCGUGCCUUUUGCAUAAUGAACCUACGAGUUACUUUUUCCGGCAAGGUUAAGGGGCUAAGCCCUGCAGCCGAAGCGAAAGCGAGUCUUAAUAGGGCGUCUCAGUCGGAAGGAGUAGACGCGAAACCAAGUGAUCUACCCUUGGGCAGGUUGAAGGAUGGGUAACACCAUCUGGAGGACCGAACCAAUAAGCGUUGAAAAGCUUCUGGAUGACCUGAGGGUGGGGGUGAAAGGCUAAUCAAACUUGGAGAUAGCUCGUACUCCCCGAAAUGCAUUUAGGUGCAGCCUUGACUUAUACUGGCAUGAGGUAGAGCGACUGAUAAGAUGCGAGGGCUUCACCGCCUAUCAAGUCUUGACAAACUCCGAAUGCGUGCCAGUUCUAUGUCAGGAGUGAGGGCAUGGGUGCUAAGGUCCAUGUCCUAAAGGAGAACAAUCCGGACCAACAGCUAAGGUCCCGAAAUGAAUACUAAGUUGAACUAACGAAGUCAGAUUGCUAAGACAGCUAGGAUGUUGGCUUGGAAGCAGCCAUUCAUUUAAAGAGUGCGUAACAGCUCACUAGUCGAGGAGUUUGGCGUGGAUAAUAAUCGGGCAUAAGUAUUCUACCGAAGCUUUGGGAUGUUUAAACAUCGGUAGGGGAGCAUUCCACUCCGCGUUGAAGGUGAAGCGCGAGCUUUGCUGGAGCGUGUGGAAAAGCAAAUGUAGGUAUAAGUAACGAUAAAGCAGGUGAGAAACCUGCUCGCCGAAAGACUAAGGUUUCCUGAUCAACGCUAAUCGGAUCAGGGUCAGUCGGGUCCUAAGGCUCAGCCGAACGGCGAGGCCGAUGGCAGAACAGGUUAAUAUUCCUGUACUACCUUAAGGAGUGACGUGGAGACGGAGCAGUGACAAUGCCGCCAUCUGACGGAAUAGAUGGUUGAAGGGUGUAGAUGUUGAUUGUGCCAGGCAAAUCCGGUGCAAGAGUCGAACCUGAUAGUAUGGAGCGUUCUUCGAACAAUCCAAUAGCGCAUGUAAUCAUACUUCCAAGAAAAUCCGCUAAACUUAAUCCUUGAGGUACCCGUACCGCAAACGGACACACGUAGUCGGGUUGAAUAUACUAAGGCGCUUGAGUGAUUCACGGUUAAGGAACUAGGCAAAUUGACCCUGUAACUUCGGGAUAAAGGGUCCUCAUCAGCGAUGGUGAGGCGCAGAGAAUCGGUCCAGGCAACUGUUUAACAAAAACACAGGGCUAUGCGAAAUGGAAACAUGAAGUAUAUAGCCUGACACCUGCCCGGUGCUGGAAGGUUAAGAGGAGAUGUCAUCGCAAGAGAAGCAUUGAAUUGAAGCCCCAGUAAACGGCGGCCGUAACUAUAACGGUCCUAAGGUAGCGAAAUUCCUUGUCGGGUAAGUUCCGACCUGCACGAAUGGUGUAAUGAUCUGGACGCUGUCUCAACCGUGAGCU